AUAGCGCAGUCUGGUAGCGUACCAUGUUCGGAACGUGGGGGUCGCAGGUUCAAAUCCUGCU
RNAcentral lists this transfer RNA (61 nucleotides) under Devosia sp. RNAcentral describes it as "tRNA-Pro". It matches the Rfam family "tRNA", at positions 7 to 64 of the family's 71-position model. Rfam says of the family: Transfer RNA (tRNA) molecules are approximately 80 nucleotides in length. Their secondary structure includes four short double-helical elements and three loops (D, anti-codon, and T loops). The record is from RNAcentral. Lineage: Bacteria; Pseudomonadati; Pseudomonadota; Alphaproteobacteria; Hyphomicrobiales; Devosiaceae.